UACGGAGGGUGCGAGCGUUGUCCGGAAUCACUGGGCGUAAAGGGCACGUAGGCGGCCUGAUAAGUAGGGGGUGAAAUCCUGCGGCUUAACCGCAGGGCUGCCUUCUAAACUGUCGGGCUAGAGCACGGUAGAGGCAGAUGGAAUUCCCGGUGUAGCGGUGGAAUGCGUAGAGAUCGGGAAGAACAUCAGUGGCGAAGGCGGUCUGCUGGGCCGUUGCUGACGCUGAGGCGCGACAGCGUGGGGAGCAAACAGG
Molecule: ribosomal RNA, 253 nt
Filed under: uncultured bacterium
Lineage: Bacteria
Description: partial 16S ribosomal RNA
Rfam family: Bacterial small subunit ribosomal RNA
Source: RNAcentral